RNAcentral lists this long non-coding RNA (533 nucleotides) under Vigna radiata. RNAcentral describes it as "long non-coding RNA (VRAD_LNC016154)". Lineage: Eukaryota; Viridiplantae; Streptophyta; Magnoliopsida; Fabales; Fabaceae. The record is from RNAcentral.
AAACACUUAUAAACCCCUUAAAAACCAUUAUAAACCCCUGAAAACCACUAAAACCCCUAAAAAAACUUAUAAACCCCUAAAAAACCACUAUAAACCCUUGAAAAACCACUAUAAACCCUUCAAUUAAAAACCUCUCCAAAAAGUUAUAAACCCCUUAAAAACCAGUAUAGACCCCUAAAAACCACUAAAACCCCCUCAAAACACCUAUAAACCCCUUAAAAUCCACUAUGAACCCUUCAAACCCACUGAAAACCUUAAAAUCCACUAAAACCCCUUAAAGACACUUUUAAACCCCUCAAAAACCUUUAUAAACCCCUAAAGACCACUAAAAACACUUAUAAACCCAUCAAAAACCACUAUAAACCCUUAAAAACAACUAAAAACACUUUUAAACCCCUCAAAAACCACUAGAAACACUUUUAAACCCCUCAAAAGCCAAUAUAAACUCUUAAAAACGACUAAAACCCCUUAAAACACAUAUAAACAUUCAAAAACCAUUAUAAACCCUUAAAAACCACUAAAAACCCCUAAAA